This 20-nucleotide ribosomal RNA is filed under the name Apioperdon pyriforme. Its description in RNAcentral is "Lycoperdon pyriforme partial 28S ribosomal RNA". Lineage: Eukaryota; Fungi; Basidiomycota; Agaricomycetes; Agaricales; Lycoperdaceae. The record is from RNAcentral.
UCUUGACCUCAAAUCAGGUA